This 186-nucleotide non-coding RNA is filed under the name Jeotgalibacillus malaysiensis. Lineage: Bacteria; Bacillati; Bacillota; Bacilli; Caryophanales; Caryophanaceae. The record is from RNAcentral.
UCAAUAUGAACGGAUAGAGGUGCUGAUCAUCAAUGAUCAGUUAAAAGGGAAGCUGGUGUAAUUCCAGCGCGGUCCCGCCACUGUAAAUGACUUGUGUCUGCCGUAGCCACUGUAGCUUAAGCUAUGGGAAGGAGGCAAACGCUGAUCGUCAUAAGCCAGGAGACCUGCCUUGAUUCCAAGCACCAG